UCAGAACGAACGCUGGCGGCAGGCCUACACAUGCUAGUCGAGCGACGACUUCGGUCCUAGCGGCGGACGGGUGAGUAACGCGUGGGAACGUGCUCUUCACUACGGAAUAGUCCCGGGAAACUGUGUUUAAUACCGUAUACGCCCUUCGGGGGAAAGAAUUUCGGUGAAGGAUCGGCCCGCGUCUGAUUAGGUAGUUGGUGGGGUAACGGCCUACCAAGCCUACGAUCAGUAGCUGGUUUGAGAGGAUGAUCAGCCACACUGGGACUGAGACACGGCCCAGACUCCUACGGGAGGCAGCAGUGGGGAAUCUUAGACAAUGGGGGCAACCCUGAUCUAGCCAUGCCGCGUGAGUGACGAAGGCCCUAGGGUCGUAAAGCUCUUUCACCAGGGAAGAUAAUGACGGUACCUGGAGAAGAAACCCCGGCUAACUCCGUGCCAGCAGCCGCGGUAAUACGGAGGGGGUUAGCGUUGUUCGGAAUUACUGGGCGUAAAGCGCGCGUAGGCGGACUGUUAAGUCAGGGGUGAAAUCCCGGGGCUCAACCCCGGAACUGCCCUUGAUACUGGCAGUCUCGAGUUCGAGAGAGGUGAGUGGAACUCCGAGUGUAGAGGUGAAAUUCGUAGAUAUUCGGAAGAACACCAGUGGCGAAGGCGGCUCACUGGCUCGAUACUGACGCUGAGGUGCGAAAGUGUGGGGAGCAAACAGGAUUAGAUACCCUGGUAGUCCACACCGUAAACGAUGAAUGCCAGACGUCGGGCAACAUGCUGUUCGGUGUCACACCUAACGGAUUAAGCAUUCCGCCUGGGGAGUACGGCCGCCAAGGGUUAAACUCAACGGAAUUGACGGGGGCCCGCACAAGCGGUGGAGCAUGUGGUUU
RNAcentral lists this ribosomal RNA (875 nucleotides) under uncultured organism. Its description in RNAcentral is "bacterial SSU rRNA". It matches the Rfam family "Bacterial small subunit ribosomal RNA", at positions 24 to 947 of the family's 1533-position model. The record is from RNAcentral.